This 330-nucleotide ribosomal RNA is filed under the name uncultured bacterium. Its description in RNAcentral is "bacterial SSU rRNA". It matches the Rfam family "Bacterial small subunit ribosomal RNA", at positions 568 to 898 of the family's 1533-position model. The record is from RNAcentral.
UGCGUAGGCGGUCCUGCAAGUCCGCUGUGAAAGCCCCGGGCUUAACCUGGGAAUGGCAGUGGAAACUAUGGGACUUGAAUCUGGCAGAGGGGGGUGGAAUGCCACGUGUAGCAGUGAAAUGCGUAGAUAUGUGGCGGAACACCGAUGGCGAAGGCAGCCCCCUGGGCUGAGAUUGACGCUCAGGCACGAAAGCGUGGGGAGCAAACAGGAUUAGAUACCCUGGUAGUCCACGCCCUAAACGAUGAUCACUAGGUGUUGGGGAAGCGAUUUCUCAGUACCGCAGCUAACGCGUGAAGUGAUCCGCCUGGGGAGUACGGUCGCAAGAUUAAA